Molecule: ribosomal RNA, 513 nt
Filed under: uncultured bacterium
Lineage: Bacteria
Description: bacterial SSU rRNA
Rfam family: Bacterial small subunit ribosomal RNA
Source: RNAcentral
GGAGUACGAUCGCAAGAUUGACACUCAAAGGAAUUGACGGGGCCCCGCACAAGCAGCGGAGCAUGCGGCUUAAUUCGACGCAACGCGAAGAACCUUACCAAGGCUUGACAUAUAGGGAAAAGUGGCAGAGAUGUCAUGUCCGCAAGGGCUCUAUACAGGUGGUGCAUGGUUGUCGUCAGCUCGUGUCGUGAGAUGUUGGGUUAAGUCCCGCAACGAGCGCAACCCUCGUUCUGUGUUGCCAGCAUUUAGUUGGGGACUCACAGGAGACUGUCGGGGUUAACUCGGAGGAAGGUGGGGAUGACGUCAAAUCAUCAUGCCCCUUAUGUCUUGGGCUGCACGCAUGCUACAAUGGCCGGUACAGAGGGCUGCAAUACCGUAAGGUGGAGCGAAUCCCAAAAAGCCGGUCUCAGUUCGGAUUGAGGUCUGCAACUCGACCUCAUGAAGUUGGAGUUGCUAGUAAUCGUAGAUCAGCAACGCUACGGUGAUACGUUCCCGGGCUUGUACUCACCGCCC